Long non-coding RNA from Cydia pomonella (codling moth), 648 nucleotides. RefSeq lists it as uncharacterized. The record is from RefSeq and is a predicted model, not a curated record. Lineage: Eukaryota; Metazoa; Arthropoda; Insecta; Lepidoptera; Tortricidae. The transcript has 2 exons.
AAUAUAAAUAGUAGGUGUAGCUUUAUUUGACGUUCAUAAGCGCAUUGUAAUAUGGCUACUUGAAUAAUAAAAUAUCUUUAUCUUAAAAUCACAAUGUUUGUACCAUUAGCCGUAAAAGUGCAUGGCGACUUUAUCAAUGAUUUCAUCAUAAUUUCUACAUGCAAUUUCGCAGCUCACUGUACCUACCUAAUACACAGAAAACAUCUAAGACUCCUGUGCACACCAUACUGACCUUGGACUGAGCAAUCAAAACAAAACGAAAAACAGGCGUUACAAAAAUAACAAAAUGUACCCGGUCAACCCUCCCUGGUCGGACACAAAAAGUACAAAAGUGGGCAGCCUCCCGCCGUCCCCAAGAAUGCGUCGUCCAUCCAUGUAGGUAAAGCAACGGAGUCCUCGGCACUUGUCACCGGCACCCGCGCGUACACCGACAUCGAGUUACGCCAUAACCACGGCCACGCACGGUAAUUUAGCCCUUACGGACUUUGCUUUCCGUUCGUCAAAGGAUGGCAUUGUCGGGUGCAAGCGUAAAUGUGGCAGAUAUUUGACCCCACGAUAAGUGGCGAGGGGCGCCGCGCUCUCGUCCAUUAAUGGGCCUAGCGAGGGGAGUGUUCGGUCUGCUCUGUUUUAAUAUAAACCGUGAUAAGC